Molecule: long non-coding RNA, 480 nt
Organism: Dreissena polymorpha
Lineage: Eukaryota; Metazoa; Mollusca; Bivalvia; Myida; Dreissenidae
Exons: 2
Source: RefSeq, a predicted model, not a curated record
UCAAACCAUGAUUUAUUAGCUCAUCUAUUUUUUGAAAAAAAAUUAUGAGCUAUUGUCAUCACCUUGGCGUCGGCGUCUGCGUCGGCGUCUGGGUCGGCGUCCGGUUAAGUUUUGCAUUUAGGUCCACUUUUCUCAGAAAGUAUCAAUGCUAUUGCAUUCAAACUUGGUACACUUACUUACUAUCAUGAGGGGACUGGGCAGGCAAAGUUAGAUAACUCUGACAUGCAUUUUGACACAAUUAUGUGCCCUUUUUAUACUUAGAAAAUUGAAAAUUUUGGUUAAGUUUUGUGUUUAGGUCCACUUUAUUCCUACAGUAUCAAAGCUAUUGCUUUCAUACUUGCAACACUUAUUAACUAUCAUAAGGGGACUGUGCAGGCAAAGUUAUGUAACUCUGACUGGCAUUUGGACGGAAUUAUGGGCCCUUUAUACUUAGAAAAUUGAAAAUUUUGUUAAGUUUUGUGUUUUGGUCCACUUUACCCC